UGGGGAAUAUUGCGCAAUGGGGGGAACCCUGACGCAGCCAUGCCGCGUGAAUGAAGAAGGCCUUCGGGUUGUAAAGUUCUUUCGGUAUUGAGGAAGGUUGAUGUGUUAAUAGCACAUCAAAUUGACGUUAAAUACAGAAGAAGCACCGGCUAACUCCGUGCCAGCAGCCGCGGUAAUACGGAGGGUGCGAGCGUUAAUCGGAAUAACUGGGCGUAAAGGGCACGCAGGCGGUUAUUUAAGUGAGGUGUGAAAGCCCCGGGCUUAACCUGGGAAUUGCAUUUCAGACUGGGUAACUAGAGUACUUUAGGGAGGGGUAGAAUUCCACGUGUAGCGGUGAAAUGCGUAGAGAUGUGGAGGAAUACCGAAGGCGAAGGCAGCCCCUUGGGAAUGUACUGACGCUCAUGUGCGAAAGCGUGGGGAGCAAACAGGAUUAGAUACCCUGGUAGUCCACGCUGUAAACGCUGUCGAUUUGGGGGUUGGGGUUUAACUCUGGCGCCCGUAGCUAACGUGAUAAAUCGACCGCCUGGGGAGUGCGGCCGCAAGGUUA
Molecule: ribosomal RNA, 547 nt
Filed under: uncultured bacterium
Lineage: Bacteria
Description: bacterial SSU rRNA
Rfam family: Bacterial small subunit ribosomal RNA
Source: RNAcentral